Molecule: small nuclear RNA, 128 nt
Gene: U1
Rfam family: U1 spliceosomal RNA
About the family: U1 is a small nuclear RNA (snRNA) component of the spliceosome (involved in pre-mRNA splicing). Its 5' end forms complementary base pairs with the 5' splice junction, thus defining the 5' donor site of an intron.
Source: Ensembl
AUACUUACCUGGCAAGGGAGACACCGUGAUCACCAAGGCGGUUCACCCAGGGCGAGGCUCGGCCAUUGCACUCCGGCUGUGCUGACCCCUGCGAAUGGGGAUGCGCCGUACAGUAGUGCAAUUGCCCC